ACGGGAGGCAGCAGUGGGGAAUAUUGCACAAUGGGGGAAACCCUGAUGCAGCGACGCCGCGUGAGUGAAGAAGUGAUUCGUCACGUAAAGCUCUAUCAGCAGGGAAGAAAAUGACGGUACCUGACUAAGAAGCCCCGGCUAACUACGUGCCAGCAGCCGCGGUAAUACGUAGGGGGCAAGCGUUAUCCGGAUUUACUGGGUGUAAAGGGAGCGUAGACGGCGGUGCAAGUCUGAAGUGAAAUGCCAGGGCUCAACUCUGGAAUUGCUUUGGAAACUGUGCUGCUAGAGUGCAGGAGAGGUAAGCGGAAUUCCUAGUGUAGCGGUGAAAUGCGUAGAUAUUAGGAGGAACACCAGUGGCGAAGGCGGCUUACUGGACUGUAACUGACGUUGAGGCUCGAAAGCGUGGGGAGCAAACAGGAUUAGAUACCCUGGUA
This 434-nucleotide ribosomal RNA is filed under the name uncultured Lachnospiraceae bacterium. RNAcentral's name for it is "partial 16S ribosomal RNA". It matches the Rfam family "Bacterial small subunit ribosomal RNA", at positions 341 to 792 of the family's 1533-position model. Lineage: Bacteria; Bacillati; Bacillota; Clostridia; Lachnospirales; Lachnospiraceae. The record is from RNAcentral.